This 524-nucleotide ribosomal RNA is filed under the name Batrachyla antartandica (marbled wood frog). Its description in RNAcentral is "partial 16S ribosomal RNA". It matches the Rfam family "Bacterial large subunit ribosomal RNA", at positions 1921 to 2597 of the family's 2925-position model. The record is from RNAcentral. Lineage: Eukaryota; Metazoa; Chordata; Amphibia; Anura; Batrachylidae.
UGUUCAACGGCCGCGGUAUCCUAACCGUGCGAAGGUAGCGUAAUCACUUGUUCUUUAAAUAAGGACUAGUAUGAAUGGCACCACGAAGGUUAUACUGUCUCCUUUUUCUAAUCAGUGAAACUGAUCUUCCCGUGAAGAAGCGGGAAUUUAUUUAUAAGACGAGAAGACCCUAUGGAGCUUUAAACAAAAUAACAAUUGCUAUACCCAUUAAUAAUUUCAGAAAACUUAAACUCAUUCUAGCACCAUGAUUAUUAGUUUUAGGUUGGGGUGACCGCGGAGAAAAAAUUAACCUCCACAUUGAAAGGAUAUUCCUCCUAAGCAAAAAGCUACAACUUUAUGCAUCAAUAAAUUGACAUUAAUUGACCCAAUAUUUUGACCAACGAACCAAGUUACCCUAGGGAUAACAGCGCAAUCCACUUCAAGAGCUCCUAUCGACAAGCGGGUUUACGACCUCGAUGUUGGAUCAGGGUAUCCCAGUGGUGCAGCCGCUACUAAAGGUUCGUUUGUUCACCGAUUAAAACCCU